GACGAACGUUGGCGGCGUGCCUAAUACAUGCAAGUCAACUGAAAUACCGGUAGCAAUACUGGUAUGGAGGUGGCGCACGGGUGAGUAACACGUAGGUAAUCUGCCUUCAGGUCUGACAUAACCCAUCGAAAGGUGAGCUAAUAUCAGAUGAUGCAGCGGCUUGACAUCAAGACAGUUGUUAAAGCUUCGGCGCCUGAAGAUGAGCCUGCGUCUGAUUAGCUAGUUGGCGGGUAACGCCCACCAAGGCUGCGAUCAGUAGCUGGUCUGAGAGGAUGAUCAGUCACACUGGAACUGAGACACGGUCCAGACUCCUACGGGAGCAGCAGUAAGAUAUGCUCAAUGCCGAAGCUGAAGCAGCAACGCCGCGUGAGGGAUGAAGGGUCUUUUGC
Molecule: ribosomal RNA, 389 nt
Filed under: uncultured bacterium
Lineage: Bacteria
Description: bacterial SSU rRNA
Rfam family: Bacterial small subunit ribosomal RNA
Source: RNAcentral